AGAAUCAACGCUGGCGGCGUGCCUAACACAUGCAAGUCGAACGAGAAAGUGGGAGCAAUCCCAUGAGUAAAGUGGCGCACGGGUGAGUAACACGUGACUAACCUACCCUUGAGUGGGGGAUAACCUAGGGAACCUGGGCUAAUACCGCAUAAUACCUACGGGCCAAAGGAGCAAUUCGCUUUAGGAGGGGGUCGCGGCAGAUUAGUUAGUUGGCGGGGUAAUGGCCCACCAAGACAGUGAUCUGUA
Molecule: ribosomal RNA, 246 nt
Filed under: uncultured bacterium
Lineage: Bacteria
Description: partial small subunit ribosomal RNA
Rfam family: Bacterial small subunit ribosomal RNA
Source: RNAcentral